CCUACGGGAGGCAGCAGUGAGGAAUAUUGGUCAAUGGACGCAAGUCUGAACCAGCCAUGCCGCGUGAAGGAUGACUGCCCUAUGGGUUGUAAACUUCUUUUAUAUGGGAAUAAAAUGUUCCACGUGUGGGAUUUUGUAUGUACCAUAUGAAUAAGGAUCGGCUAACUCCGUGCCAGCAGCCGCGGUAAUACGGAGGAUCCGAGCGUUAUCCGGAUUUAUUGGGUUUAAAGGGAGCGUAGGUGGAUUGUUAAGUCAGUUGUGAAAGUUUGCGGCUCAACCGUAAAAUUGCAGUUGAAACUGGCAGUCUUGAGUACAGUAGAGGUAGGCGGAAUUCGUGGUGUAGCGGUGAAAUGCUUAGAUAUCACGAAGAACCCCGAUUGCGAAGGCAGCUUACUAAACUGUGACUGACAUUGAUGCUCGAAAGUGUGGGUAUCAAACAGGAUUAGAUACCCUAGUAGUC
Molecule: ribosomal RNA, 460 nt
Filed under: uncultured bacterium
Lineage: Bacteria
Description: partial 16S ribosomal RNA
Rfam family: Bacterial small subunit ribosomal RNA
Source: RNAcentral